UUCAAAUAUAUUUUUUCACGGCCGUAUUUUAAUCAAUCAUAAUAAUAUAUAUGACAAUGGAUGAAUAAGGAGUAUCAUUAUCAAAGACUCUUAGCACAAAGAGCACAAAGAGCACAAAGCACUCUACCUAACCGUGUAAUUUUUUCUUAACUUGGACCACUGGAUUCGUGGAAGCGUACAAAACCUCGUGAUCCUCGUGUCGCUUGAUUUUGAUCACAAUCUUGACGGUGGUGGAAAAUAGGGACCACCAGCCACUAAUGUAUAAGAUCACCAAAUCCCAAAAACCCGCAAAAAUCAAAUAAUACGUAAUCGGUAAGCUGUAAAGCCCAAGGCUCUAGAAAGUAGAAACCCAAACACUACAAAUAUUUUCCCUCCCUCCACAAACAAAGCCAUAAGCUGUCCCCACGUGUCAUUGUGUCAAUAAUAUAGUGCAUUUAACCGCCACUGAAACGACCGCCGCGAAAUAUCAAAUGAAAUUAGAGGAUCAUGAGAAUUUAACUCCGUCUGAUCGAGUGACUCAUCAGUGACCCCAGUUUGUUGAUUAAAACAUUUCUCAAAAUACAACUGUACACCGUUCGCAUCUUAUUCGUAUGACUCAGCCGUCUCUAUCUUUAUUCUUUGUCCAAAAAGGUCUGCGCACCUUUCUGACGUGGCGUAGAUCUCCACCAUACACCCAAUCUUUUUCUGCCACAUAAUUGGACAAACCUUAAAUCUUAUUUUAUUAAAUAAUUACAUCUAGGUCCCUGAUUUUUCCACAAACACAAAUAAGGAUUUAAUAUGCAAUUCGCUUAAGAGGCUCCUGCUAUUUUGAUCUUUCCUAAUUUCUAUUCACGGCCUUAUUAAAUAUUUACUAGCACUGCAUUUAUUUUACUGGGGCAUACAAUAAAAUUAGAGAGAUAAUUAUUCUAAGGUAUGGAUGUCUAUACUUUUUAAAAAAUAUGGAUUCGACUUAACACGGUAAUAAAACUUUUUUAUAGUAAUUCUUUAUGUAAGAAUAACCUU
This 1002-nucleotide long non-coding RNA is filed under the name Citrus x clementina. RNAcentral's name for it is "Citrus clementina (C. clementina) long non-coding RNA (CCLE_LNC005631)". Lineage: Eukaryota; Viridiplantae; Streptophyta; Magnoliopsida; Sapindales; Rutaceae. The record is from RNAcentral.